GGGGGCGACAUGGCUUCGACGUGUGUCGCAAAACUCGGGGUGCAUGCCGAGGUGCAGGGACCUCGUAAAACACUUUGCAAACUUUAGUUGCCAACGACGACAACUACGCACUCGCCGCUUAAAACCCGGUAGGGUGCCGUCUGACUGGACGCGUGCUUGUGAGCACCAGAUUUCAGGCGUCAUAACUCACAAGAUCGCCGUGAAACCUGCCCGAGGUCGAUCGGUUAAAUCUCAUUAGGGAUCGCCGCUUGUUUUCCCUGUCCGUCGGGUAGCAAUCGGUUAAAACAAUAGACGUGAAUAAGCAUGUAGACCUCCGGGCGGAGGGCUCGCGGACGCGGGUUCGAUUCCCGCCGCCUCCACCA
This 362-nucleotide transfer-messenger RNA is filed under the name Gammaproteobacteria (g-proteobacteria). Its description in RNAcentral is "XN24 sp011064545 Standard tmRNA". It matches the Rfam family "transfer-messenger RNA". Rfam says of the family: Bacterial tmRNA, also known as 10Sa RNA or SsrA, is named for its dual tRNA and mRNA-like properties. RNAcentral also lists the same sequence under 1 other name. The record is from RNAcentral. Lineage: Bacteria; Pseudomonadati; Pseudomonadota.